ACUCCGUGUCCUAGCAGACACCUACGACUCAGUUUAUCUGCAUCCGAACUCAUACUCCUGUGCCUGCCUGGCCUCAGGCUCUGUCCUCAGGCUGGUGGAUGCGGUCCUGGGGGCUGAGAUCCGGAAUGGCAUGGCCAUCAUUAGGUAGGACUCUACAGCAUUUGACUUUUUACAUUGUUUUAAAGUCCUUCCUUCAAGUGUAAAAUGUAUCGAUAUGGGUAAUAUAUUCAUGUGAUUCAAGAAUCCAAAGGUAAAAAAGAGAAUAUAAUUAAAAAUCUGUCUCCCAUCCUUGUCACCCAGACACCUGCCUCCUCUCAUGGGAGGUAGUCAUUGGAACCACUGACUCAUGUGUCCUCCCACAAAGUCUUAUUCAAGAAAUAAAUACCAUAUUUCAUUG
Molecule: small RNA, 397 nt
Filed under: Pan troglodytes (chimpanzee)
Lineage: Eukaryota; Metazoa; Chordata; Mammalia; Primates; Hominidae
Description: retained intron
Source: RNAcentral